This 269-nucleotide ribosomal RNA is filed under the name uncultured Planctomycetales bacterium. RNAcentral's name for it is "partial 16S ribosomal RNA". It matches the Rfam family "Bacterial small subunit ribosomal RNA", at positions 565 to 832 of the family's 1533-position model. The record is from RNAcentral. Lineage: Bacteria; Pseudomonadati; Planctomycetota; Planctomycetia; Planctomycetales.
GAGCACGUAGGUGGGUUUGUAAGUCAGAUGUGAAAGCCUUCUGUUCAACGGAAGAAUUGCAUCUGAAACUGCAAACCUUGAGUAUAGGAGGGGGGAAUGGAACUUCUGGUGGAGCGGUGAAAUGCGUAGAUAUCAGAAGGAACUCCGGCGGCGAAAGCGAUUCUCUGGCCUAUUACUGACACUCAGUGUGCGAAAGCUAGGGGAGCAAACGGGAUUAGAUACCCCGGUAGUCCUAGCCGUAAACGAUGGGCACUAAGUAGAGGGGUUUU